Long non-coding RNA from Cannabis sativa, 913 nucleotides. RefSeq lists it as uncharacterized. The transcript is spliced from 6 exons. NCBI's taxonomy places the organism in Eukaryota, Viridiplantae, Streptophyta, Magnoliopsida, Rosales, Cannabaceae. The record is from RefSeq and is a predicted model, not a curated record.
ACCACCAUCAUAAACUCUUUCUCAUUCAUGAAAACCUAACCCUAAAAAAUUGCCGUCACUCUUUCCCUCCUUCUCGUCUCGAUCUGUUCGAAUUUGUCCCUCCCGUUGUCGCUGUAUUCCGAUUCUCCGACGUCCGUGGCAGCUCAAGAAGUACACGGAACGAGAGCGGUCGCCCGAACACAUUCGAGGGGCGCGUUUGGAUCCGCGAAGGCAAUCGCUCGGAUGUUCCCCUAACCCAACCCGGGAACGGACCGGAGGGAACCGCAGCAUGGGGAGUGUCCGCGUCUCGUCGCAAGGCUCAUUUUUAGUUGUGGGUCAUAGGGCGGGCAGCUUUAUCUGAUCAAGGGCCGGGGCACAAGGGUCCUGGUACUAUCCAGGUGCGCCCAUCCAGCAGCCACCUAGGUUCCUUUCAGGUUGACAAGGGACAUUAUUGAUGGCAUGGGUGUAAGUGGAGUCGAAGGAGUUUUUAGAAGAUGUUGCGAGGAAACACUCUCUGUUAUGAGGACAAAUAAAGAAGCACUGCUGACCAUUGUUGAAGUUUUUAUACAUGAUCCUCUGUAUAAGUGGGCUUUAUCUCCUUUGAAGGCUUUACAGCGUCAGAAGAUAUUACGAAUUGGAUUCGCAACAUCGAACAGCAUGGGGAUAAUGUCAAAAAGAUCCUGGUAGGAAACAAGGCUGAUAUGGAUGAAAGUAGAAGGGUUUUUCAUUCCAAUUUUCAGUUGAGGGACAAAGGGAGAUGAAGAAUGCAAUAUUAACUUAAUAAUUUUCUCAAAGAAUAUAUUUUAGUCUCAUCUAUUGGAUUGAUUCUCUAGGACCAGACAAAUAUGGCAAAUUCGCACCGCAGUGGAUUGAUUAAAAGAUCAAGUGAUGGUGCAAAUCUGAAUCGCAUGGGUGUGACCAAUACUGUGGUCUC